RNAcentral lists this ribosomal RNA (851 nucleotides) under uncultured organism. RNAcentral describes it as "bacterial SSU rRNA". It matches the Rfam family "Bacterial small subunit ribosomal RNA", at positions 20 to 847 of the family's 1533-position model. The record is from RNAcentral.
UGGCUCAGAACGAACGCUGGCGGCGUGCUUAACACAUGCAAGUCGAGCGCGAACGGCAUUUUCGGAUGCCUAGUAGAGCGGCGCACGGGUGAGUAACACGUGGGUAAUCUACCCUUUGGACUGGGAUAACCCCGCGAAAGCGGGGCUAAUACCGGGUAAGACCACAGAUCGUCGGAGAUGUGGUAAAAGCGGGGGCUUUUCGGGGCCUCGCACCAGGUGAUGAGCCCGCGUCCCAUCAGCUUGUUGGUAGGGUAAUGGCCUACCAAGGCUAAGACGGGUAGCUGGUCUGAGAGGAUGAUCAGCCACACUGGGACUGAGACACGGCCCAGACUCCUACGGGAGGCAGCAGUGGGGAAUAUUGCGCAAUGGGCGAAAGCCUGACGCAGCGACGCCGCGUGGAGGAUGAAGGCCUUCGGGUUGUAAACUCCUGUCAGGAGGGACGAAUGAAUGAGUUGUUAAUACCAGCUUGCUCUGACGGUACCUCCAAAGGAAGCACCGGCUAACUCUGUGCCAGCAGCCGCGGUAAGACAGAGGGUGCAAGCGUUGUUCGGAAUUACUGGGCGUAAAGGGCGCGUAGGCGGCUUCAUAUGUCGGAUGUGAAAUCCCUCGUUUCAAGCGGGGAACUGCAUCCGAAACUGUGAGACUUGAGUCCCGGAGAGGGAAGCGGAAUUCCUGGUGUAGAGGUGAAAUUCGUAGAGAUCAGGAGGAACACCCGUGGCGAAGGCGGCUUCCUGGACGGUGACUGACGCUGAGGCGCGAAAGCGUGGGUAGCAAACAGGAUUAGAUACCCUGGUAAUCCACGCUGUAAACGAUGGGCACUAGCUGUCAGGGGUAUUGACCCCUCUGGUGGC